UAGCAUAUCAAUAAGCGGAGGAAAAGAAACCAACAGGGAUUGCCUUAGUAACGGCGAGUGAAGCGGCAACAGCUCAAAUUUGAAAUCUGAGGUUUUUAACUUCCGAGUUGUAAUUUGAAGAGGAUGCUUCGGUUGUGGCCUGGGCCUAAGUUCCUUGGAACAGGACGUCGUAGAGGGUGAGAAUCCCGUACACGGCUACCGGCUUACUUCCAUGUGUAGCUCCUUCGAAGAGUCGAGUUGUUUGGGAAUGCAGCUCAAAAUGGGUGGUAAAUUUCAUCUAAAGCUAAAUACUGGCGAGAGACCGAUAGCGCACAAGUAGAGUGAUCGAAAGAUGAAAAGCACUUUGAAAAGAGAGUUAAACAGUACGUGAAAUUGUUGAAAGGGAAGCGUUUGCAAUCAGACUUGCUUUUAGUUGAUCAACGUUCCUUUUGGUUCGUGCACUCUGCCAUUUGCAGGCCAGCAUCAGUUAGAGCGGUGGGACAAAGACUCUGGGAAUGUGGCUCUCUUCGGGGAGUGUUAUAGCCCAGUGUGUAAUGCUACCUGUUCUGACUGAGGUCCGCGAUUUAUCUAGGAUGCUGGCAUAAUGAUUGUAAACGACCCGUCUUGAAACACGGACCAAGGAGUCUAACAUCUAUGCGAGUGUUUGGGUGUCAAACCCAUACGCGAAAUGAAAGUGAACGGAGGUGGGAGUCUCACGACGCACCAUCGACCGAUCCUGAUGUUUUCGGAUGGAUUUGAGUAGGAGCAUAGCUGUUGGGACCCGAAAGAUGGUGAACUAUGCCUGAAUAGGGUGAAGCCAGAGGAAACUCUGGUGGAGGCUCGCAGCGGUUCUGACGUGCAAAUCGAUCGUCAAAUUUGGGUAUAGGGGCGAAAGACUAA
Molecule: ribosomal RNA, 879 nt
Filed under: Orbilia caulicola
Lineage: Eukaryota; Fungi; Ascomycota; Orbiliomycetes; Orbiliales; Orbiliaceae
Description: eukaryotic LSU rRNA
Rfam family: Eukaryotic large subunit ribosomal RNA
Source: RNAcentral